This 232-nucleotide ribosomal RNA is filed under the name uncultured bacterium. RNAcentral describes it as "partial 16S ribosomal RNA". It matches the Rfam family "Bacterial small subunit ribosomal RNA", at positions 99 to 334 of the family's 1533-position model. The record is from RNAcentral.
CGGACGGGUGAGUAAUGCUUGGGAAUCUAGCUUAUGGAGGGGGAUAACUACGGGAAACUGUAGCUAAUACCGCGUAAUAUCGAAAGAUUAAAGUGCGGGACCUUCGGGCCACAUGCCAUAGGAUGAGCCCAAGUGGGAUUAGGUAGUUGGUGAGGUAAAGGCUCACCAAGCCGACGAUCUCUAGCUGGUCUGAGAGGAUGACCAGCCACACUGGGACUGAGACACGGCCCAG